CCUACGGGAGGCAGCAGUGGGGAAUCUUGCGCAAUGGGCGAAAGCCUGACGCAGCCAUGCCGCGUGAAUGAUGAAGGUCUUAGGAUUGUAAAAUUCUUUCACCGGGGACGAUAAUGACGGUACCCGGAGAAGAAGCCCCGGCUAACUUCGUGCCAGCAGCCGCGGUAAUACGAAGGGGGCUAGCGUUGCUCGGAAUUACUGGGCGUAAAGGGAGCGUAGGCGGAUAGUUUAGUCAGAGGUGAAAGCCCAGGGCUCAACCUUGGAAUUGCCUUUGAUACUGGCUAUCUUGAGUACGGAAGAGGUAUGUGGAACUCCGAGUGUAGAGGUGAAAUUCGUAGAUAUUCGGAAGAACACCAGUGGCGAAGGCGACAUACUGGUCCGUUACUGACGCUGAGGCUCGAAAGCGUGGGGAGCAAACAGGAUUAGAUACCCUGGUAGUCCACGCUGUAAACGAUGAGUGCUAGUUGUCGGCAUGCAUGCAUGUCGGUGACGCAGACUACGACAUUAAGUACACUCCGCCGUCGGGGUAGGUACGGUCGCGAAGAAGUUAAACUUACAAUAGUAAGUUAGACGGUCGUGAGACGUGCCGACGGACGACGACGAGGGAGGUUAGG
This 614-nucleotide ribosomal RNA is filed under the name uncultured bacterium. RNAcentral describes it as "bacterial SSU rRNA". The stretch from base 1 to 520 matches the Rfam family "Bacterial small subunit ribosomal RNA", at positions 338 to 873 of the family's 1533-position model. The record is from RNAcentral.